RNAcentral lists this ribosomal RNA (256 nucleotides) under uncultured bacterium. RNAcentral describes it as "partial 16S ribosomal RNA". It matches the Rfam family "Bacterial small subunit ribosomal RNA", at positions 524 to 776 of the family's 1533-position model. The record is from RNAcentral.
UACGUAGGUGGCAAGCGUUGUCCGGAUUUAUUGGGUUUAAAGGGUGCGUAGGCGGCUUUGUAAGUCAGUGGUGAAAUACUCCAGCUUAACUGGAGGGGUGCCAUUGAUACUGCGGAGCUUGAGUACAGAUGAGGUAGGCGGAAUUGACGGUGUAGCGGUGAAAUGCAUAGAUAUCGUCAAGAACACCGAUAGCGAAAGGCAGCUUACUGGGCUGUAAACUGACGGCUGAUGCACGAAAGUGUGGGGAUCAAACAGG